This 276-nucleotide long non-coding RNA is filed under the name Mytilus galloprovincialis (Mediterranean mussel). Lineage: Eukaryota; Metazoa; Mollusca; Bivalvia; Mytilida; Mytilidae. The record is from RNAcentral.
CAAUUUAAUUACAACCAACAUUUCCAUUCAUUUAUCUUUAACUGGACUUUGCACAAUAACACUCAAGUAACCCUAUUAUUUUAUGCAAAGAUGAGAAACAGAUUUGUACGAUUUGUUUUAUAAGAUCGAUAAAAGAGGGACGAAAGAUACCAAAGGGACAGUCAAACUCAUCAAUCUAAAACAAACUGACAACGCCAUGGCUAAAAACGAAAAAGACAAACAAACAACAGCACACACGACACAACAAAGAAAACUAAAGAAUAAACAACACUAACC